RNAcentral lists this ribosomal RNA (539 nucleotides) under uncultured bacterium. RNAcentral describes it as "bacterial SSU rRNA". It matches the Rfam family "Bacterial small subunit ribosomal RNA", at positions 356 to 896 of the family's 1533-position model. The record is from RNAcentral.
GAGGAAUAUUGGUCAAUGGACGGAAGUCUGAACCAGCCAAGUAGCGUGCAGGAAGACGGCCCUAUGGGUUGUAAACUGCUUUUAUACGAGAAUAAUUUGAUGCACGUGUGCGUUAUUGCAUGUAUCGUAUGAAUAAGGACCGGCUAAUUCCGUGCCAGCAGCCGCGGUAAUACGGAAGGUCCAGGCGUUAUCCGGAUUUAUUGGGUUUAAAGGGAGUGUAGGCGGUUUGUUAAGCGUGUUGUGAAAUUUAGGUGCUCAACAUUUAACUUGCAGCGCGAACUGUCAGACUUGAGUACACGCAACGUAUGCGGAAUUCAUGGUGUAGCGGUGAAAUGCUCAGAUAUCAUGAAGAACUCCGAUUGCGAAGGCAGCAUACGGGAGUGUAACUGACGCUUAAGCUCGAAGGUGCGGGUAUCGAACAGGAUUAGAUACCCUGGUAGUCCGCACAGUAAACGAUGGAUGCCCGCUGUUAGCGCCUGGCGUUAGCGGCUAAGCGAAAGCAUUAAGCAUCCCACCUGGGGAGUACGCCGGCAACGGUG